AUAUUACUCCCUCCGUCCAGAAAUACUUGUCAUCAAAAUGAAUAAAAGGGUAUGCAUUUAGACGUAUUUUAGUUUUAUAUACAUCCUUUUUUGUCCAUUUUAAUGAUAAGUAUUUUCGGACGGAGGGGGUAUGUA
Non-coding RNA from Triticum aestivum (bread wheat), 135 nucleotides. Lineage: Eukaryota; Viridiplantae; Streptophyta; Magnoliopsida; Poales; Poaceae. The record is from Rfam.